Non-coding RNA from Pelobates cultripes (western spadefoot toad), 389 nucleotides. NCBI's taxonomy places the organism in Eukaryota, Metazoa, Chordata, Amphibia, Anura, Pelobatidae. The record is from the annotation of a GenBank genome assembly.
GUCGGAUGCAUUUAAAAAAACUAAAUCAAUAAACACAGUAGAUGUGAAAUAGUGAGCAUCUGAGGAAUGUCUGUUUUUAUUAGUACUCUAAAAUAAUUAGUGCCUUCUAUUUCUUUAUUCCUGUCUCUAACAAAAUCCUGAAAUGGAGCUGCUGAGUUCCUGUUAUUAGUUUACUCAAGGGUGCACAGUUAAAGGCUACCUUAUAGCACUCUUGGGAAAAUGCAUCAAAACUAGUGUAAAAUGCUUAUGAAAUUAUGUUUGUGCACAGCGAAUAUUAGUAGUAUUAUCCUGCAUUUAGAAAGCACCAACAUAAAGAUAGAAACAUAUAAACAUAUCAUAGUGAACACUGGGGUUUAUCUAAACACAUCAUAAAAUACUUGUAACAGAAG